AGAUUGAACGCUGGCGGCAUGCUUUACACAUGCAAGUCGAACGGUAACAGGCCGCAAGGUGCUGACGAGUGGCGAACGGGUGAGUAAUGUAUCGGAACGUGCCCAGUCGUGGGGGAUAACGCAGCGAAAGCUGCGCUAAUACCGCAUACGAUCUAUGGAUGAAAGCGGGGGACCGUAAGGCCUCGCGCGAUUGGAGCGGCCGAUAUCAGAUUAGGUAGUUGGUGGGGUAAAGGCUCACCAAGCCAACGAUCUGUAGCUGGUCUGAGAGGACGACCAGCCACACUGGGACUGAGACACGGCCCAGACUCCUACGGAGGCAGCAGUGGGGAAUUUUGGACAAUGGGCGCAAGCCUGAUCCAGCAAUGCCGCGUGCGAGGAAGAAGGCGUUUGGUU
Molecule: ribosomal RNA, 393 nt
Filed under: uncultured soil bacterium
Lineage: Bacteria
Description: bacterial SSU rRNA
Rfam family: Bacterial small subunit ribosomal RNA
Source: RNAcentral